RNAcentral lists this long non-coding RNA (2492 nucleotides) under Cottoperca gobio. RNAcentral's name for it is "lncRNA (ENSCGOG00000016156.1)". Lineage: Eukaryota; Metazoa; Chordata; Actinopteri; Perciformes; Bovichtidae. The record is from RNAcentral.
UUGGGUUUGAGAGCGUAAGAACAAUGCUUUCAAAAGAGUUAUAGUUUAGUUUAGGUUUAGGAUUGAUUAAGAGGUUUGAGUCAUGUCGACCACCGGAAACACCCGACGCCGUGUUUUGAUGUCACAAGUAUAAAAUAGUCCACCAGUUGAAUACACAGACAGCACGGCAGAAGCGGCAGACGUGGCGAUGUCGGACUCUGGCUCAGAUAUUUCGACAGAAUCGAGUGACAGUGAGUUGUCAAUAGACUCGUUGCACCUUCAAGAAGAGGAGUUUAUUGAAGAGGAUGCCGGUGUCGUGGAUUUAGAUCAUGCGGGUGAGUUUAACGUGGUAGAAACAGAGCAUCUCGAGACACAGUAUUCAAGAUGGAGACACAGACGGGAGCGAACAUGCGGAUGAUGGUGACGGUGAUCCUGGAUUUGGCGGAGAUCCUGUGCGACAACAGAACACAGACAGGUGUACAUGUGAAAACUGUACAAUUAUGCAAGCAAUUGAAGAGCUGCUGCCAAGAAAAGGAUGUCAUGGAGGAAUUCAAUGAAUAUGAGGGACAUGGUGCAAACAUAACCUGCAUAACAGAUCAACCAGGAUUCAAAUCAAAUUGUCUGGAUGUUUGGGUGUUGCAGACAGCCUACCAAAGGUAUUCGAAGAGGGACAGACAACAAGCAGGUGAUCGGCCACGUAAUGAAAUGUAUCCAAUCCAAUGUACCGCCGGUGAGAUUUUGUUGGGGAAUACUUGCACAACAACAUCCCUCUUGUUUGGUUCGUCCACCGACUGCUGAGUGGAGCUGGGACUUCGAAAGGUUCCUCAUCAACAUUGUCUUGGCACAAAGCGUAGAGUCUCGGUCAAGAGUUCAGUAACAUACUCUGCAAAAAAAGAUGUUUUAUAAUCAAGCAUUAUAUAUAUAUGUAUGUGUGUAUGUGUAUGUAUAUAUAUAUAUAUAUAUAUAUAUAUAUAUAUGUAUGUAUAUUAUGAUGCUGACCUUUGGAACAACCAACUUGGAUUGGAACUUGCAGUCCAGCUGACCUGACACGUGGUCGCGCCUGCAUGGACUUGUGGUGUGUCCGUGGAGGGGGAUCCAUCUGCACAGCAAUUUCUUUCUGACAUGUCUGAAAUGUACAAAACACAACUUUACUAAUAAAUCUUUCAAACCAGCUUGAAAUUGUAUUGCAUGUUUAUACAUGUCUGCGUAAGGAAAAUAUCUAAUAACAUUCAUAAUAAAAGAUGUGGUUGAAUUGAUUGAGAGAGCAAUGAUAUCAAAUUAAACAAAUAUAUGAAUUAUGUACAUGCAUGUGGUGAUUGUAUGUUUAACACGUAAUGUACCGGUCUACUGGUACUGCAACUGUAAUGUACAGAUGACGUACAGUCUGUAUACUUACUGGUGUACACACAGCUUCCUCCUCAGUGUGGAUGUCCAAUAGAUGGUCGCUGAUCAUACAGGUAUCCUCAGUUCUGUCAGUGGCUUCAUUCACCAAUGUUUCAAUACCUCUGUAAUAAUAGGGUGAUAGUUAAAAGUUAAAUAGACUCAAUAACAUAACAUAUGUAGGUAUGUAGGUAGGUAGGUAGGUAGGUACUUUAUUCAUCCCGAGGGAAAUUUAGGAAAAAUUUACAUUACAGUGUACAUUUGUAUGUAUGUAUUUGUAUUGUAUUAUGGCUUUAUGCUUGAAACAAUAAAUACAGUAAACAAGUAGCACGGCUUACCUUUGCUCUCUCCCUUUUGGCGAAUGCAUCUCGAGCAUAGUUUGUUUGAAACACGAUCUCUCAAAGUGCUGCCCACAAAUCGUCGGUUUCAUCAACGCACUUGUCUUGUUCAUAAACGCGACAUUUUAUCAUCUUUUGGCCACAGAAAACUAGAUUUGGAGACGGCCCCACAUCCCCAUACAACACAUCGCUUCACAAUUAUCCUUGACGAUCGUUUGUUGUUUAGAUAUCUGUGUGUUUACUGUUGCACUGGGGUCUGUAUGGUCCGUGUAAUGUUAUGUUUUGAUAGUUUGUAUGUUGGAUUGGGUCCGGGUGGCAGAGAGUCGAGAUAGUACAACUUCCCCGGAGGGGAGAGUGCAGCGGCUCUGGCGGCUCGGAUUCGGCCAGCGAGUCACAGCAGGCUGAUGAAGCGCUGGGUCUAAUCUGUGUAACGGCAGAAACAGAAAGUUUGACGAUCCAUCGGAUAGUCGAUGCUAACUGCUCACUGCUAACGGAAGAUAUGUCCAUUUCCCAGCCACCGCACACUCAACUUCUGGCGAACCAGCCUUUCCGUGGCCGGUGAGGACGAGGCGAGGGUGUGAGUUGUUUUCUCGUUUUUUGCCCCUUUGGAUUGAAUCAAAACAAACAAUCAAAACGUGCAGGGAUCAUGGAUGUAAUGUUGACAAGCCUUGAGUCGGCCCGAGUCAGACAGCUGUACCUCUUCUCUCUCUGUACUGAGGCAGACUGCAGCUACAGUGACUCACUAUCACCUCUAGAGGAACAAGUGGUAUUACAGACUGGACGGAGCGCAGCUAG